Hucho hucho (huchen) is the source of this 137-nucleotide small nucleolar RNA. Lineage: Eukaryota; Metazoa; Chordata; Actinopteri; Salmoniformes; Salmonidae. The record is from Ensembl.
GCAUGGACGAAUUCUGUGUUACUCUGUCAGUAGUAAAUGCAGUCAGACACCAUGCAAAAGUAUCGUUUCACUUCUCUCUUACUAAGGGCAAGUGCUAUCCUGUGUCUUAGCCAGUCAACGGAGGAGUGAACACAUUG